GGGCCCGCACAAGCGGUGGAGUAUGUGGUUUAAUUCGAUGCAACGCGAAGAACCUUACCAGGGCUUGACAUCCUGCGAACCUCUGGGAAACCGGAGGGUGCCUUCGGGAACGCAGUGACAGGUGGUGCAUGGCUGUCGUCAGCUCGUGUCGUGAGAUGUUGGGUUAAGUCCCGCAACGAGCGCAACCCACGUCUUUAGUUGCCAUCAAGUAAAGUUGGGAACUCUAGCGAAACUGCCGGUGUAAACCGAGAGGAAGGUGGGGAUGACGUCAAAUCAUCACGGCCCUUACGUUCUGGGCUACACACGUACUACAAUGCUACGGACAAAGGGCAGCAAGUUCGCGAGGACAAGCAAAUCCCAUAAACCGUGGCUCAGUUCAGAUCGUAGGCUGCAACUCGCUACGUGAAGGCGGAAUCGCUAGUAAUCGC
RNAcentral lists this ribosomal RNA (428 nucleotides) under uncultured bacterium. Its description in RNAcentral is "bacterial SSU rRNA". It matches the Rfam family "Bacterial small subunit ribosomal RNA", at positions 917 to 1345 of the family's 1533-position model. The record is from RNAcentral.